This 253-nucleotide ribosomal RNA is filed under the name uncultured bacterium. RNAcentral describes it as "partial 16S ribosomal RNA". It matches the Rfam family "Bacterial small subunit ribosomal RNA", at positions 524 to 776 of the family's 1533-position model. The record is from RNAcentral.
UACGUAGGGUGCAAGCGUUGUCCGGAAUUAUUGGGCGUAAAGAGCUCGUAGGCGGCUUGUCACGUCGACUGUGAAAACCCGGGGCUCAACUCCGGGCCUGCAGUCGAUACGGGCUGGCUUGAGUGCGGUAGGGGAGACUGGAAUUCCUGGUGUAGCGGUGAAAUGCGCAGAUAUCAGGAGGAACACCGGUGGCGAAGGCGGGUCUCUGGGACGUAACUGACGCUGAGGAGCGAAAGCGUGGGGAGCGAACAGG